Molecule: ribosomal RNA, 623 nt
Filed under: uncultured bacterium
Lineage: Bacteria
Description: bacterial SSU rRNA
Rfam family: Bacterial small subunit ribosomal RNA
Source: RNAcentral
AGAGUUUGAUCCUGGCUCAGGAUGAACGCUGGCGGCGUGCUUAACACAUGCAAGUCGAACGGACCCAUAUUGAAACCUAGUGAUAUAUGGGUUAGUGGCGGACGGGUGAGUAACGCGUGGGUAACCUGCCUUACACAGGGGGAUAACACUUAGAAAUAGGUGCUAAAACCGCAUAAGCGCACAGCUUCGCAUGAAGCGGUGUGAAAAACUCCGGUGGUGUAAGAUGGACCCGCGUCUGAUUAGCUUGUUGGCGGGGUAACGGCCCACCAAGGCGACGAUCAGUAGCCGGCCUGAGAGGGCGGACGGCCACAUUGGGACUGAGACACGGCCCAGACUCCUACGGGAGGCAGCAGUGGGGAAUAUUGCACAAUGGGGGAAACCCUGAUGCAGCGACGCCGCGUGAGUGAAGAAGUAAUUCGUUACGUAAAGCUCUAUCAGCAGGGAAGAAAAUGACGGUACCUGAGUAAGAAGCCCCGGCUAACUACGUGCCAGCAGCCGCGGUAAUACGUAGGGGGCAAGCGUUAUCCGGAUUUACUGGGUGUAAAGGGAGCGUAGACGGUGCGCCAAGUCUGGAGUGAAAUGCCGCAGCUUAACUGCGGAACUGCUUUGGAAACUGGCGAACU